This is a long non-coding RNA of Ahaetulla prasina, 7456 nucleotides long. RefSeq lists it as uncharacterized. The transcript has 4 exons. NCBI's taxonomy places the organism in Eukaryota, Metazoa, Chordata, Lepidosauria, Squamata, Colubridae. The record is from RefSeq and is a predicted model, not a curated record.
UCCCCCCGAUGCGUGCACUUUUCCUGCCCUCUUCCCACUUUUAUUGUGAUUUAAAAGCGGGACGGGGAGGGGAGGGGAGGCCGUUUUGGAGCGGGUCUCACUCCCGGGCCCUGCCUUUUCUUUUUCUUUUUUUCCCCCCUCCUGGAAAGGAGAGGUGCAGAAACAAGGGAUCUUGCUGGAAGCAAACAAGAAGGGGGUGGGGGGAGAAGAGAGGCGGACCUCGUUGCAAAGGCUCGCCUGGCCAAAUAAAAGCAAGGAAUCCCGAAGGAGCCGCCUCUCGCUUCCCCCCACCUCCCCUCCCGGAUCCCUGAUUGCUAAAUCUUUGCGGGCGGGUUUGCAUUUCAAUGGAUGAGAUAAAGAGGGAUCUUUGCAGCCCGAUCCUGUGCAAGUCAGAAUAGACUGAGGUACAGUACACCAAUAAGAUUUAUUGGCAUGUUUGCCAAGAAUAAAUUUCCAGCACAGUGUCCAAGGAAAACUGUGAAACAGCCUUCUAACCAAAACAAGCCAGAGCACCGUCUCUAACUUGGCACUUUCCAAAUGGAUUGGCAUUCCCAACUCCAGGGAAUUCUGGGAGUAUAAUUGUCAGAGCGGAAGAAAAUAUGCAAGAGAAACGGCCAUUGCAAGAAGUGCACUGCAUGUAACAAAGUGCAAUACAAAAGGAUGAUCUCAACUUUGAAAUGGACCUCUGCAGCCUCAGCCAUCUUUAUAUUUCUCAGCUUGCCACACAGUUGGCGGUGGGUGGGAGAAGAGGCUUGGAAUGUCACACCAGACAAUAACAACAGAUUGUCCUGUGGGAACCAAGAUCAUCCCAACCGAUGCUGGCCAGAAACUGGAAGGAGUUACCCAGGAGAUCCCAGAACACCUAAUUGGACAAUGUGACCUGUGACAAGGAGGGAGGGGAAUAUCUAUUCUUUAAUUAUACAAAAACCGAAGGAAUUAUUUAGAAUUGGUUUUGCUUUCACGUGUGCCAAAAUGAUGUACUCAAUAAAACAGUUCUUAAAAAGAUCUAAUUGUCUUGGAGUGCUGGCUUGGUUGGAUUGUCAGUCAGAACCUUGAUAUUAAACCAACUCUCACUUUUCAGACUUCAAUUAGCUAGCAAUCCCUCCAAGGUCCUGAGCCCCGACCGCCUACCCGGUCACCUUCAGGAGGAUGGAAAAGACUUAGGGAAGAUUGUUGAAAUGGAACACAAGGGAGAGCCUGUGACAAAGCCCAGCAGGGGUCCAGUGAAGUAGGUGCAGGGAGCAACCCAAGCAGAUUUCAGAGCCCAGGCAGUGGUGACCCGAUCAAAAGCUCGACCAGAGAGGACUGAGCGACAUGUGGUGCGUGAAGAAACCAUAGUGACCAGGGACUUUUAGCAGGUGGAGGAAGAUGUCUGGUGAGGGAGAACACCAAAAGUAGCUGAGGCCGAGUUUCCUUUGGUUUCGUCUCAGACUUUGUAUGUCCAGGCACCAUGGUAGAGGGUGAACAGGAUGGAGGAGUGGGAUGAUCAUGCAGAGUGGAGAUAUCUGACUGCCAGCUGCAGCCCAUCAGUGGAGCAGCUGAGAGAGAGGUUUUUCCACUUGGAUGUGCGCUGAGUGGAACUGAUACAGAGAAUGGAGUUGUUAGCCGAAGCCAGAAUCCAACCGAUCCUGUUGCCUCUGGCUAGUCAAGAGUCCAAGCCCAACUGCUGUAGCAGGAGCAACCAGUUCCCCACAGAGAGCCACCGCUUCAGCUAGUCCUACCCCGAGGCAGAGCCUCAUGAGGCAUCACUACACUGCGAGCCCAUCUGCAGGUGCUGUUGGCCGACCGCUGCCCCCAUCAGGAUGGCCCAGUGCCAGCUGUGGCCUUACUAACCUGGCCCUGGCUGGUUCUCUGGACACUGGGGGCCACCACCUGCAGACCCUCCACCGAUAAAGGCCAUGUUCAACAAAAGCCCAGAGAAACUGUUGUUCUUCCUGAACUAGGUGUAGGCCCACUUGGACUGAUAUGCCCCAUCUACCCUGAUGGGACAAUGGUGAAUGCUGUGACUGCCAACCUCAAAGAAGAAGCAGUGAAAUGGGUAACAGGCCUCCAUGAUGAAAGAGCACCAGAGUUGGGGAACAUUGAUGACUUCCUAGUGGAGUUUAGGGUCAGGUUUGAAGAUGAAACCCAAGUCUGGAAAGCAAAGUCAGAGAUACUCCCUUAGACAAGGGAGCUGACUGGUGGCGGAAUACAUCCAGGCGUUUCAGAAAGUCAUAGGCAAGUUGAGGCACUGACCAGAGCAGCUAGUGGUCUACCACUUCAGAGAUGGCUUGAAUCGAGAGUUAUUCUACACUUGCCUGUCCCAGGGAAUAUCAGACCGGAUCCGCAAAUGGUAUAGGAUGGUGACGGUGAUAGAUCUCGACAUGAGAGAAUACAAGAAACAUGGUACCCUCAAGCCAAAACUGAAGAGGAGCCAAGAGCGCCACUGGCUGCCCCCCCACCAGCUGUCCCCCCCACCAGACCACCUUGUGCUUUCAGUGUGGCCAGCAGGGCCAUAGGUCAAGUGAGUGACUGGCACCUGCUCCCAGACUAGUGACAAGAGCUCCCACCAAGCCCAAGAAGCCGCAGCAGAAGGGGUGAGAGAAAUUGAGUGUGGCGUGCCAAGUCAUAAAGUCUCCUCCCCUGGUAGUGAGAAAUAGGGAACUCCAGCCAAGGAGGACCAGCAACUGAUCCCCUACGAGAUCGAGGACAAAGGGGAGAAUGACCCAAUGAUAAGUAGAGCCAUCCACUCCUUUUCAAUCCCGGUGAAGAUUGUAGCACCCAAAUUGGGAGCCCAGAAAGAGAUGGAGGUACUAGUAGACUUAGGUUGCACCUGGUGUUUGAUGAGAAUGCCAACAGUGCUGUUCUGUCUCCUUCCCCACUUCAGACCCACGAGCUGCCCUUUAGCCAGCGGAUUCACGGCUCUUAUCAGUCCUGGCAGAGAAAUCGCAGCUGCCUGCCAAAGUUCAAACAAAUGACUCAUGUAGCAAGACUUUCAGCUCUUUUUGAAACGGAUCAGCUAAACUUUGCUUCCCGUGGAGUGAGAGCAGUCCCAAAGCUCCUUAUAUAUGCUGUGGGGUGGGGCUCCUGCCCCACCCUUCCUUUUGAUGACACCGCCUCUCUAAUCUUCUGAAGCACGGGUCAAGCCAAGCUUGAUUAUUAUUAUCAGCUGGGUCUGAAGGCGUAGCCUGGGGAAGGGAGGAAUCAGGGGAUGACGGCCUCAUUACGUCCUCCGACUGGUCUGGUUCUGGCUUCUGGAGCCAAGCCAAAGGAAUCAGUGCUCCCGAGGUAAGCCUUACCGGCCCUUCCCCCUCACUCUCUGAGUCACUGUCGGGCAUGGGGCCAGGUUCAGGGGCUGGAGUCACAACAAGUGCUGAAGUUGGGAAUACGACAGAGAAAACUGCCCCAAUCAAUGAAGUUCAAGCAAAUGGAUGGCUCACUAAUAGGGGACUGCCCACGACGCACCUGACAGAGCUCAUGAGGCUAGAGAUAGGCCAGAAUCAAGAACCCAUCUGAUCAGUGGGUAGCACUGAAGACGGAGGCAGUAGUACUGGGGCUGUCCUGGUUAGAUAAGUGGGGGCAUAUCAUAUGGUGGCAGAAAGAGGAAAGAAAGCUGAAGCUGGGGAAGAGGCUCCCUCUUCAAUAAGAAACCUUGAAGGAAAGGCAGAACAGCAGAGAGUUAAGGGGGAGUCACGACACCAAAAAACCUGGCCACUUUGGGUUUUUAAAAACACAUUUAGUGAAAAGACAAUUUUGAUGGCAAGGAAUGAAAAAGGACAUAGAAAGCUAUGUAAAAAGUUGUGCAGUGUGUGUGGCAAUGAAAAAGAGACCAGGGAACAACAAGUAACAGAGCUGUCCAGGCCCUGAAAGGAGAUAGCAAUGGACUUUAUAGUUGAACUCCCAAAGUAGAGAAGCACUGUAAUUUGGACAGUGAUAGAAAUUUUGUAGCCUGCUCAAGCCUCCCAUCUGCCCAGAAACUGGCCUAGAUCUUCUUUCAGCAUAUCUACCAACUGCAUGUAGUAUCAAAAAGAAUCAUCUUGGAUUGGGAGGUCCAAUUUACUGAUACAUUUUGGAGAAAGUUCAUAAAGUUGAUAGGAUCUUCCCAAGGGCUUAGUUACACAUUUCAUCCAAAUACAAAUGGGGCUGUAGAACGAGUGAAUGCAAUGAUAGAACAAUACUUAAGGCACUGGUAAUCAAUCUGGUCCCUACCGCCCACUAGUGGGCGUUCAGCUUUCAUGUGGGCGGUAGGGGUUUUGUCCAAUACUGAAGCACUUUCCUUUUUUUUAAUUUAAUUGACUUUUUAAAAAAAAUUUCAUAGCAUUAUUUAAAAACAUUUUCAUUAGGUUUUCAUAAAAUUCCCGGUGACAAUUUAAAUUUCUGAAAAUAUACUAUUUGUUUCACCCGCGCAUAAGUUUAGUUCACGUUACGUAAGUGAAACUAAAUGGCACUAUAGUGCAACCGCAAACAAAAGAGCCUCGUCCCAGAAUAGCUCGCGCAUCUCCCCCCACACCACCCAGCUGUAACAGACAAGCAGAGCUGGUAGCCGGUGCCCCCCCCCCCAAACCCAAUCCACGAUGCGCGAGAAGCAUGCGCAGACAAUGAUACACGGCACAUUACUGUGGAACUGGUGGGCGGUUAGAAAAUUUUACUACUAACAGAGAUACAAAAAUGGGCGGUAGGUAUAAAAAGGUUGACUACCCCUGACUUAAGGUGUUAUGUCAACUAUCAGCUGCCUGUCUAAUUGGGCAGACUUCCUGCCAUUUGCUGAAGUUGCAUACAACAAUGCAGUACAUAGCAACACAGGGCUUACCCCAUUCAAAAUAGUGGAGUUUGUCCCCAUGCUAGAAUACCUUCAGGAGCCCCCCUCCUCAGUAAGCAUAAUGGAGUGGGUGGGUUCUUUGUAAAACACAUGGGGGAAUGUAAAGCGAGUACUGACUAAAAUGACAGAAAAUCAGAAAAUACAGUCAGACAAGAGGCAAGUGCCUCAGAAACCAUUUUACAUAGGAGAGAAAGUAUCUGAAAUUAAAGUUGCCCUGUCGAAAGCUGGGUCCAAAGUUUAUAGGUCCUUUCCCCAUAAUGAAAAUUAUAAAUCCAGCCACAGUAGGAUUAAAACUGCCAUGUCUACUGGGGAAAAUGCAUCCAGUGUUUCACUGUACUCUGCUUAAGCCAGGUUGGAGCUAAGGCCAGUAGCAAGGAUAGCUCCAGGUCCAAUUGUAGUGAAGGGGAAGAAACACUAUGAGGUGAAGAGGGUCCUGGAUUCUAGACUGUACAAGGGGAAAUUCCAGUAACUAGUCCAGUGGAAGGGAUAUGAUGCCAAAAGCUAGAUGGAUAAAAUUGCAGAAUAUGAAGGCAAACAGAUUAAUAAAGAAGUUUCACAAGAAAUACCCCCAGAAACUGAAAGGGACACACGGAACCCCUGAGUUCUAUUAAUAUGUGUAUGUGUUUAAUGUCUUCCAGGUGCUUUUCUCUUUCAGGGGGAUCCAAUUGUCAACUUCGAAACUGACCCCUGAUGCUGCAGCCAUCUUUAUAUUUCUCAGCUUGCCACACGGGGGGUGGGUGGGUGGGCAGGGGGAGAGGCUUGGAAUGUCACACCAGACAAUAACAGGUCAUCCCAAUUGGUGCUGUCCAGAGACUGGAAGGAGUUACCCGGGAGACACCUGUCACAACAAGGGAAGGGAAUAUCUAUUCUUUAAUUAUAUGAAAACCGCAGGAAUUAUUUAGAGUUGGUUUUGCUUUCAUGCCUGCCAAAAUGAUGUGCUCAAUAAAACAGUUCUUAAAGUGAUCUAAUCUAAUAGAAAGAGUGCAGAGAAGAGCAACCAAGACGAUUAGGGGAUUGGAGGCUAAAACAUACAGUGAAUGGUUGCAGGAACUGGGCAUCGCUUGUCUAAUGAAAAGAUGGAGCAGGGGAGACAUGAGAGCAGUGUUCCAAUAUUUGAGGGACUGUCACGGAGAGGAAGGGGUCAAGCUAUUUUCCAAAGCACCGGAAGGCCAGACAAGGAAUAAUGGAUGGAAAUUGAACAAGGAGAGGUUCAACCUGGAAAUGAGAAUCUUUCUGACAAUGAGAGCAAUCAACUAAUGCAAUGGUUCUCAACCUUUAUAGUGCUGCGACCCCUUUAAUACAAUUCCCCACGAUGUGGCGACCCCUUUAAUACAAUUCCCCAUGAUGUGGCAACCCCAACCAUAAAAUUAUUUUCGUUUUGAAUUUAUCGCGCCUGAAGCCAUAUUGGCUAGCGAUCUGAACUGCUUGCGAUUGCCUUGAGGACAGAGGCAUUAAAGCGGAGACUCCUCCCCUAUUAAGUUUAUCGCGCCUGAAGCCAGAUUAGGCUAGCGAUUGGGAGUGAUUGCAGCUGGCUUGAGAGGGAGACAGCAGAGCAAAGAUUUCUCUUUUUUAAUUCAUCGCGCCUGAAGCUGAAUUCGGCUAGCGAUUUGAAGAACCUGCAGCUGGCUUGUGGAGUCAACCAUUGGAGCGCGAUUCUUCGACUCGCAAGUAUAUUUCCCAUUAUUUCCGAUGGCCUUAGGCGACCCCUGGCAAAUCGCCAUUCGACCCCCAACGGGGUCCCGACCCACAGGUUGAGAACCGCUGAACUAAUGGAACAGCUUGCCUUCAGAAGUUGUGGGAACUUCAUCACGGGAAGCUUUCAAGAUGAGACUGAACUGCCAUCUGUCAGAAACGGUGUAGGGUCUCCUGCUUGGGUGAGGGGUUAGACUAGAUGACCUAUAAGGUCCCUUCCAUCUCUUUUAAUCUGUUAGGCUUGGUUGGGUUUGUCAGUCAGAACCUUGAUAGAUACCUUCAAAUAGAAGGACUGUCCUCUGUAAAGCAGAACAUGUAGCCUUCCUACUUCAUAAAUUUCAUGUGGAAAAAAAAAGUCCAUUCAUGUUCCUUGAUAAGAGUUCAUAAGGGAAGAAAGUCCAUUCCUAAUGCUAAGGAAUUUUAUGUGUUCUCUCGUUCCAACAAGCGCUGAAUCCUGCACUGUCCUUGAUCUCAGGAGAAUGAGGCAGACAAGAAUGCUAAAUCCUAACUGUACAGAGCAAGGAUUAUAGAUCUAAUAAUACCACUAUUGUGACAGGCGGGCAAUUCUCCUUUGGGCCUGGAAGAAUUCCUCAGAGAAAACAGCCUCAGAAUCCCACUCUCAAUGUAUCUGACUAGCUAAAAAAGAAGCUGUUUCAUAUCAGACCACAAACUGUUUUUGUUUUUCUAAUUUAGGAACUAUGGGGAGAGAAUAACAUUUUAGCAUCUUUUUAUCUCCCCGUUUUUUCAUCUCCAAAAGCUGAAUCCAUGAAAGGAAGAAACAAUAAAAGUGUGUGUUGUUGGCAGUGAAUAUCAGGAGCUAUUCUUGAUUGACAAAUUGGGGGCUCAAUGGAACUCAUUAAAUCUGACCUUGGGCCUCUUCUGGAAAAUAAGAAUAUUAGAGCCUUGUUCCCAUGCUGUUAAAAUACUUUGAUUCCUCAAUUGAUCAACUAAAUGUGCUUUUCUUCU